This is a long non-coding RNA of Pleuronectes platessa (European plaice), 875 nucleotides long. RefSeq lists it as uncharacterized. Lineage: Eukaryota; Metazoa; Chordata; Actinopteri; Pleuronectiformes; Pleuronectidae. The record is from RefSeq and is a predicted model, not a curated record. The transcript is spliced from 4 exons.
GCCCACUCCUGUUCUCCCCUUUCAAAAAGCAUUUGAAGAAACAAUUUGCUGCUGAUCACAGUAACCGCUCCGUGUUAUUAUCUUGUUAAGGCCAGUUAAGAGGCCAUGUCUCUGAGGGCUUUGGCGACCCUGUCAGGAAGGCGUCACUUUGCUUGGUGGGCUGCCAUGCAACCACAGAGGCGUUAACGGCCCAAACUUCUUUGCCACAUGGACAAACACAAACACAAAGACAGACGACGACACGAAUCCCUUCACUACCCUCAAGGGGAUACAAUUUUGAAAGGGGAGCAUCAGUGACCGCAACUGUCACGUAAACUGGACGGAGCGGAUGUGGCUCAGGAGGUACAGCGGGUCGUUCACCGAACCAGAGGGUUUACACAACGUGCAGCACUCUGUCGAGCACCAUGGGCGACGUCUGUUUUCAUUUCACCUCCUACCGCAGAAGAUGGGAAUCUACAGUUCUACAGUGCGUCAGUGAACGCCCAGGGUCUAUGGGUUUUAAUUGCAAUCAGGAACUGCGGCAGCUUUAACAGGAGAAGACAAACUAAUCAGUGAAGUCAUAGGGAUCAGUGUUUUUGUUGGAAUGAGAAAACGGCAUCUUGUCCAUCAGACACAGUUCAACCAUCCCCACUCCAGAGUGUUGUUUUAUAUAAUCCUACAGACCCCCAGCCUCAGUACAACUUGGACCCCUCUGUCCCUUGGUCAUCGCAUGUCUCUGGAGUUAUUGUAUCAUGCUACACAAGACAUAAGGCGACAAUCUCCAUGUCUCUGGCCAUCUUCUCACUGAGCAGGUCCUUGUAGUCUUCACACUGCUCCUUCAUCUGUACCUGGAAGUCGGACUCCUGCUGCCGCAUCUCAUCCAUGGUGAACUGGAC